UCAUUUAUUAAAUUUCGUAAAAGAAAUAAGAAAGGAACAAAAGAGCUCUGCAAUUUCAAGAUGGUUCGUUUGCUUUCCUUGUUCAACACUUCAAGUCACAAUGCUUCGGUUUGUGUCAAUAAAACUGAAGUUGGAUCUGCUUUUACAGAUGAAGGUGUUUAUAUCAACGAAGUUAUUGAUGAUUCACGGGAUAAGCUGAAGGGUAUUCAAUUGAAGUGUAAGUUUCAGGAUACUGCUAGAGAUAUUUACAUUUGGGAUGACGUAUGGAAAUUAAAGUUCACAGAAAGAUCUUCAGGUUCGGAGUAUGUAUUCAAGAUAAGUAAAACAAGUGGUGAAAUUAGAUUGGUUGUAACAGAUACUGGUAUUAUAAUUUUCAAUGAUUCAGAUGAAGCACUCUCAAUAUUUCCAGUUGAAGAACAUUAUAAGUUUUAUAAGAUGUUUUUUGAUCAAGGUAAAUGGGUAGUUAAAGCGUCGGAAAAUUGAAGAGGCACAAUGAAGAAGAAGAUGAUGAUACGUACAUAUGUACGUAUAUUUGAUUCAUAUAUUGUAAUUAUAUUGUGUUUAAUUUGGAUAAGUGUUAUAGGCCUCACAGCUCCCUCCCUUUCUGGUGCAGUUGGCCUAACUCUCUUCCAUCGUCUCCUGCUUUUGUGAGCCAAUUGUGGCUUAGUUUGAACUUGCUUUCCUUCUUGUUUAUAUCGUGCCUAAGCUUCGGCUUUAUGUUGGUUCUUUCUUGGACUUACAAUAGUAUUUCUGCUUCCGCUUUAUUAAUAAACUCUCUUUGGGUUAAAAAUAUAUUUUGAAUAAGUGUUCAUUUCGACUAUGCCAUUGUAAUAGAGUAUUAUUUCUUUAUGAAAUAAAUAAAGAGAAGGUAUUUUUGGUUCUAUAAAGGACAUUAUUUGUUUAUGUUUUGUUGGAUGUGAUUAUGUGACUAGGUUUGUAUUUUUUUUUUCGUUUGGAAUCAUAUAAUUGUUUUCCCAAUCGAUGCUCCUCUAUUAAUGACAUGUUUCUCA
This 1010-nucleotide long non-coding RNA is filed under the name Malus domestica (apple). RNAcentral describes it as "long non-coding RNA (MDOM_LNC009629)". Lineage: Eukaryota; Viridiplantae; Streptophyta; Magnoliopsida; Rosales; Rosaceae. The record is from RNAcentral.